CGGUCUACCAUGCAGUCGAACGAUGAAGCCCAGCUUGCUGGGUGGAUUAGUGGCGAACGGGUGAGUAACACGUGAGUAACCUGCCCUUAACUCUGGGAUAAGCCUGGGAAACUGGGUCUAAUACCGGAUAGGAGCGCCUACCGCAUGGUGGGUGUUGGAAAGAUUUAUCGGUUUUGGAUGGACUCGCGGCCUAUCAGCUUGUUGGUGAGGUAAUGGCUCACCAAGGCGACGACGGGUAGCCGGCCUGAGAGGGUGACCGGCCACACUGGGACUGAGACACGGCCCAGACUCCUACGGGAGGCAGCAGUGGGGAAUAUUGCACAAUGGGCGCAAGCCUGAUGCAGCGACGCCGCGUGAGGGAUGACGGCCUUCGGGUUGUAAACCUCUUUCAGUAGGGAAGAAGCGAAAGUGACGGUACCUGCAGAAGAAGCACCGGCUAACUACGUGCCAGCAGCCGCGGUAAUACGUAGGGUGCGAGCGUUAUCCGGAAUUAUUGGGCGUAAAGAGCUCGUAGGCGGUUUGUCGCGUCUGUCGUGAAAGUCCGGGGCUUAACCCCGGAUCUGCGGUGGGUACGGGCAGACUAGAGUGCAGUAGGGGAGACUGGAAUUCCUGGUGUAGCGGUGGAAUGCGCAGAUAUCAGGAGGAACACCGAUGGCGAAGGCAGGUCUCUGGGCUGUAACUGACGCUGAGGAGCGAAAGCAUGGGGAGCGAACAGGAUUAGAUACCCUGGUAGUCCAUGCCGUAAACGUUGGGCACUAGGUGUGGGGACCAUUCCACGGUUUCCGCGCCGCAGCUAACGCAUUAAGUGCCCCGCCUGGGGAGUACGGCCGCAAGGCUAAAACUCAAAGGAAUUGACGGGGGCCCGCACAAGCGGCGGAGCAUGCGGAUUAAUUCGAUGCAACGCGAAGAACCUUACCAAGGCUUGACAUGUUCUCGAUCGCCGUAGAGAUACGGUUCCCCUUUGGGGCGGGUCACAGGUGGUGC
This 984-nucleotide ribosomal RNA is filed under the name Micrococcus luteus. RNAcentral's name for it is "bacterial SSU rRNA". It matches the Rfam family "Bacterial small subunit ribosomal RNA", at positions 45 to 1044 of the family's 1533-position model. The record is from RNAcentral. Lineage: Bacteria; Bacillati; Actinomycetota; Actinomycetes; Micrococcales; Micrococcaceae.